AAUCAACCAAGCGAAUAACAUGAGAUAUUGGAAUGCAAAGUAUGAAGCCAAGGACAUCUCUUUAUCAACUGCAAAGUAUGAAGCCAAGGACAUCUCAUUAUCAACUGCAUCUGAAGCUAAUUUGGACUUGCAAGAUGUUAUAGCAGUAGCUCGUUCCGCAUCCAGCCUUGCUCAACACCGUAUCAGCGAGCUUACCAAGAUGAGAAGCAAUGAACAUAC
RNAcentral lists this long non-coding RNA (219 nucleotides) under Lathyrus oleraceus (garden pea). Its description in RNAcentral is "Pisum sativum (pea) long non-coding RNA (PSAT_LNC007434)". The record is from RNAcentral. Lineage: Eukaryota; Viridiplantae; Streptophyta; Magnoliopsida; Fabales; Fabaceae.